This 463-nucleotide ribosomal RNA is filed under the name uncultured bacterium. RNAcentral describes it as "bacterial SSU rRNA". It matches the Rfam family "Bacterial small subunit ribosomal RNA", at positions 1 to 507 of the family's 1533-position model. The record is from RNAcentral.
CAGUAGUCACGAGUUUGAUCCUGGCUCAGAUUGAACGCUGGCGGCAUGCCUAACACAUGCAAGUCGAACGAGACCUUCGGGUCUAGUGGCGCACGGGUGCGUAACACGUGGGAAUUUGCCUCGGGGUAUGGAAUAACUCAGGGAAACUUGAGCUAAUACCAUAUAAUGUCUUCGGACCAAAGAUUUAUCGCCCUGAGAUAAGCCCGCGUAGGAUUAGCUAGUUGGUGAGGUAAAGGCUCACCAAGGCGACGAUCCUUAGCUGGUCUGAGAGGAUGAUCAGCCACACUGGGACUGAGACACGGCCCAGACUCCUACGGGAGGCAGCAGUGGGGGAAUAUUGGACAAUGGGCGAAAGCCUGAUCCAGCAAUGCCGCGUGAGUGAUGAAGGCCUUCGGGUUGUAAAGCUCUUUUACUCGGGACGAUAAUGACGGUACCGAGAGAAUAAGCCCCGGCUAACUCCGUG